AUUGAACGCUGGCGGUAGGCCUAACACAUGCAAGUCGAACGCGAAAGUCCUUCGGGAUGAGUAGAGUGGCGGACGGGUGAGUAACGCGUAGGAAUCUAUCCUGUAGUGGGGGAUAACGUUUCGAAAGGAACGCUAAUACCGCAUACGCCCCAACGGGGGAAAGGCGGGGGAGUCUUCGGACCUCGUGCUAUAGGAGGAGCCUGCGUCGGAUUAGCUAGUUGGUGAGGUAAAGGCUCACCAAGGCGACGAUCCGUAGCUGGUCUGAGAGGAUGAUCAGCCACACCGGAACUGAGACACGGUCCGGACUCCUACGGGAGGCAGCAGUGGGGAAUAUUGCGCAAUGGCGAAAGCCUGACGCAGCCAUACCGCGUGUGUGAAGAAGG
Molecule: ribosomal RNA, 383 nt
Filed under: uncultured bacterium
Lineage: Bacteria
Description: bacterial SSU rRNA
Rfam family: Bacterial small subunit ribosomal RNA
Source: RNAcentral